UGGGGAAUUUUGGACAAUGGGGGAAACCCUGAUCCAGCCAUCCCGCGUGUGCGAUGAAGGCCUUCGGGUUGUAAAGCACUUUUGGCAGGAAAGAAACGUCAUGGGUUAAUACCCCGUGAAACUGACGGUACCUGCAGAAUAAGCACCGGCUAACUACGUGCCAGCAGCCGCGGUAAUACGUAGGGUGCAAGCGUUAAUCGGAAUUACUGGGCGUAAAGCGUGCGCAGGCGGUUCGGAAAGAAAGAUGUGAAAUCCCAGAGCUCAACUUUGGAACUGCAUUUUUAACUACCGGGCUAGAGUGUGUCAGAGGGAGGUAGAAUUCCGCGUGUAGCAGUGAAAUGCGUAGAUAUGCGGAGGAACACCGAUGGCGAAGGCAGCCUCCUGGGAUAACACUGACGCUCAUGCACGAAAGCGUGGGGAGCAAACAGG
RNAcentral lists this ribosomal RNA (429 nucleotides) under Acidobacteriota bacterium. RNAcentral's name for it is "Acidobacteria bacterium partial 16S ribosomal RNA". It matches the Rfam family "Bacterial small subunit ribosomal RNA", at positions 355 to 776 of the family's 1533-position model. The record is from RNAcentral. Lineage: Bacteria; Pseudomonadati; Acidobacteriota.